This is a long non-coding RNA of Cryptotermes secundus, 494 nucleotides long. RefSeq lists it as uncharacterized. The record is from RefSeq and is a predicted model, not a curated record. The transcript has 2 exons. NCBI's taxonomy places the organism in Eukaryota, Metazoa, Arthropoda, Insecta, Blattodea, Kalotermitidae.
AACGUCGGUUAAUACCACAUAUACACGGUGCCAAAUCCCAGAAGACUGCUUUCUUUAUACUGCUGGACAUCAAAUUUUCUAAAUCAGGUUUCCACAUUUCAUCAAAAACUUUCACUUAAUACAGAGGGCUUCAUGUGAAUAUCCCUACAGUACACGUUUAUGCUCUUUUAACAAAAGUGUUAAAAUGUGCCACGCACUUCCAGAACAUGCCACCAGCUGACAGGGUGAUUUUCCAGUUACUGGCCAAAAUUAAUUACAUAAAUUUAAAUAACACUGGCGUAGAACUCUCACCGCAGUACACAACACACAACGCACAGGAACAAUCCAACUACAAGCCAAUACAACCUCAAGACAUCUCCCAACAUCGGGAUAAAUUAAGAAGCAGCCUAACAUUUUUAUAUUUUACUUCAAAAGUCUUAAACUUUUAAAUAUUUUUUAAAUAUUUUAAUAGUGAUGUUUUAACGCGAGGGCAACUUCGGAUUGAAUGCGAAGGU